GCUUCGUCGUUCAAUCGGUCAGGAUGCCCCGUUUUUGGGGUGAUGCGGGUUCGAAUCCCGUCGAAGCACGA
Molecule: transfer RNA, 71 nt
Filed under: Bifidobacterium longum
Lineage: Bacteria; Bacillati; Actinomycetota; Actinomycetes; Bifidobacteriales; Bifidobacteriaceae
Also listed under: 2 other names
Description: tRNA_Pseudo_???
Rfam family: tRNA
About the family: Transfer RNA (tRNA) molecules are approximately 80 nucleotides in length. Their secondary structure includes four short double-helical elements and three loops (D, anti-codon, and T loops).
Source: RNAcentral